UACAGAGGUCUCAAGCGUUGUUCGGAUUCAUUGGGCGUAAAGGGUGCGUAGGCGGCGCGGUAAGUCGGGUGUGAAAUCUCGGAGCUUAACUCCUAAACUGCAUUCGAUACUGCCGUGCUUGAGGACUGGAGAGGAGACUGGAAUUUACGGUGUAGCGGUGAAAUGCGUAGAUAUCGUAAGGAAGACCAGUGGCGAAGGCGGGUCUCUGGACAGUUCCUGACGCUGAGGCACGAAGGCCAGGGGAGCAAACGGG
Molecule: ribosomal RNA, 253 nt
Filed under: uncultured bacterium
Lineage: Bacteria
Description: partial 16S ribosomal RNA
Rfam family: Bacterial small subunit ribosomal RNA
Source: RNAcentral